GCGCAGGUGGUGAAAUUGGUAUACACGCAGCGUUCAGGGCGCUGUGGGCGCAAGCCCGUGGAGGUUCAAGUCCUCUCCUGCGCA
Molecule: transfer RNA, 84 nt
Filed under: Candidatus Spechtbacteria bacterium RIFCSPLOWO2_01_FULL_43_12
Lineage: Bacteria; Candidatus Spechtiibacteriota
Description: tRNA-Leu
Rfam family: tRNA
About the family: Transfer RNA (tRNA) molecules are approximately 80 nucleotides in length. Their secondary structure includes four short double-helical elements and three loops (D, anti-codon, and T loops). Further hydrogen bonds mediate the characteristic L-shaped molecular structure. tRNAs have two regions of fundamental functional importance: the anti-codon, which is responsible for specific mRNA codon recognition, and the 3' end, to which the tRNAs corresponding amino acid is attached (by aminoacyl-tRNA synthetases). tRNAs cope with the degeneracy of the genetic code in two manners: having more than one tRNA (with a specific anti-codon) for a particular amino acid; and 'wobble' base-pairing, i.e. permitting non-standard base-pairing at the 3rd anti-codon position.
Source: RNAcentral